UUUCCGUAGGUGAACCUGCGGAAGGAUCAUUAAUUAUAUAAGGCCACAGGGAGAGCUUUCCGAAAGGAUCGAGCUUGCUGUGUGAACCCUACCUACCCUUGCUUUUUGCGUACCCAUUGUUUCCUCGGCAGGCUUGCCUGCCAGUAGGACCCUCUUAAACCCUUUGUAAUUGCAGUCAGCGUCAGAAACAACGUAAUCGUUACAACUUUCAACAACGGAUCUCUUGGUUCUG
Molecule: unclassified non-coding RNA, 232 nt
Filed under: plant metagenome
Description: partial contains small subunit ribosomal RNA, internal transcribed spacer 1, and 5.8S ribosomal RNA
Source: RNAcentral